CACUACCAGCCAUCUGAAAAACAUGUGACUUCUAACUUCUGUUCUUUUUUGUAGCAGUGGAAUCCCACGGUGAUAUCUGAGGGAUGUGGUUACCUUUUGGAGGAGGUUGACGGUUUCUAAGGAUGAUUCUUUCUGAGUGAAAUAUUGUCAGUGUCAUUGACCUUUUCAUUAUUUCAACUAUUAUUAUUCCAGGUUAUCAAUACUCUGGCUGACCAUCAUCAUCGUGGGACUGACUUUGGUGGAAGUCCUUGGUUACAUGUCAUUAUUGCGUUUCCGACAAGUUAUAAAGUUGUCAUUACCCUCUGGAUAGUUUACCUUUGGGUGUCUCUCCUGAAGACUAUCUUCUGGUCUCGAAAUGGACAUGAUGGAUCCACGGAUGUACAGCAGAGAGCCUGGAGGAAAUAAAAUUGGCCUGAAAGACGUCAUUACUCUACGGAGACAUGUGGAAACAAAAGUUAGAGCUAAAAUCCGUAAGAGGAAGGUGACAACGAAAAUCAACCAUCAUGACAAAAUCAAUGGAAAGAGGAAGACCGCCAGAAAACAGAAAAUGUUUCAACGUGCGCAAGAGUUGCG
RNAcentral lists this long non-coding RNA (573 nucleotides) under Homo sapiens (human). RNAcentral describes it as "non-protein coding lnc-NPIPB3-2:10". Lineage: Eukaryota; Metazoa; Chordata; Mammalia; Primates; Hominidae. The record is from RNAcentral.